Long non-coding RNA from Pseudophryne corroboree (corroboree frog), 813 nucleotides. RefSeq lists it as uncharacterized. The record is from RefSeq and is a predicted model, not a curated record. The transcript has 4 exons. Lineage: Eukaryota; Metazoa; Chordata; Amphibia; Anura; Myobatrachidae.
GGUGUAACUUCUUCUGACUGAGGGCUUGUUCAGGAUGUCCUCAAUGCUGAAGGGAGUCAGGGGUUUGUUAGAAUUUGCAGGAGGUGGCAAGUGGUCCAAAGCGUUCCUUCUCCUCUCUUCCACAGAGGAUGAUUUGGCUUCUUCUUUGGAAGUCAUUUUGAGCUCCACAAAAGCGAGUGCUUCUCCCCCCAAAAAAAGUUCUCUCCAAUGAUUUUAUCACUUCCGUCGCUCAAAAAGAGCAGAACGUAAUUGCGGAUGGCAGGUAUUGGCCAGAGAGAGCAGAAUGCAUCAGUGUGGGAGACAGGAUGCAGGAGGAUGGGAGAUUGAAGCUAUCGUGUUAGAGAAUUUGUGCUAAUAUUGGAACGAGCGCUGCCCUUUACGGACCAAUAUUUAUACUGCGUCCAGUGUGAAGAAAGAAUCAGCACUUGAUAAUAAUUUUAUUUGCCUUUUGUCUUUUAUUUCUGUAAUAUAAUUGUACUGUGUCAUCCAAUGAAUUAUUCAAGUAAAUUCAUGGCAUAGGCAUUGCAGAUGAUGUGUGCUGCUCACUUGUUACAUAAAGACAAAUGGAUCCAUCGUGUACCACAUUACAGGUACAAGCCUCAAGUCUGGAACAGGAAAUAACCAGGAGGAAGAAGGAUCACUGGUGACUGUUAUAGAACAGAUUGAAUUACAAUGUAGGAUUUGCUAAAUCGACGUCAUCAGAUCUAGAACUCAGCUGUGUUAACGUCUGAUAACAUAUUCAUUCCACAGGCAUUUGCUUAAGUUACCACGUGGAUAAUCCAGAACCACUUUUAUAACUUUUUAUACAGAAUA